RNAcentral lists this ribosomal RNA (245 nucleotides) under uncultured bacterium. Its description in RNAcentral is "partial 16S ribosomal RNA". It matches the Rfam family "Bacterial small subunit ribosomal RNA", at positions 524 to 768 of the family's 1533-position model. The record is from RNAcentral.
GACGGAGGGAGCAAGCGUUGUUCGGAUUUACUGGGCGUAAAGGGCGUCUAGGCGGGUUGGUCAGUCAGGUGUGAAACCCCCCGGCUCAACCGGGGAUCUGCACUUGAUACUGCCAAUCUUGAGUAUGGAAGAGGAAAGCGGAAUUCCAGGUGUAGCGGUGAAAUGCGUAGAUAUCUGGAAGAACACCGGUGGCGAAGGCGGCUUUCUGGUCCAAUACUGACGCUAAAGCGCGAAAGUGUGGGGAG